AUGGCAGGAGGUUUGGUGUCCUCAGAACCCUCCAGCCUGGAGCAUUUGCUGUCCCAGCCCAGGGGGGGCGAGGUCGCCGUGAUCGCCCUGGGGGGACCCCCCGAGUCCCUGGAGGCGCAGCCAGGGGCGCUCAGGCUGCAGCUGCUCAGCAGGAUGGGAUUCGUCAGGAUUGGCCUCAAAUUUGGGUCUUUUGCCAGGUGUCCUGGCACCACCACCUGGGCUGCAAUAUCCCUGGGGCUGUGCAGUUUUGCUGCACGCUCUCAUUGUACAGCUUACCAAAACGCUUCUCACCAGUGGGGACCCCACCAAGCACGUGUGAAAGGGAUCACCAGGGGCUGUCAUAGAGAUGCACACAGGAUCAGUGUGAGCAGCAUUUGCAGGGUGAUCCAUACGUUUGUGCCAGCCAGUGUAGGGGGUAAGACACUUGCAGUGCUUUCAUCAAUCAGGAUGAUGCAACAAAUGGUUGCACACACUGUGAAGUAACCCAUUUCACAUGGUGACCUGUGGAGACACAAGCAUAAUCACUUUCCCCACAUUAACAAGUCCACAGGUCCUGCCCACUGCCCUGUUACUGGGUCCUUUACCAUCACCAGAGCCAGGGACAAGCCUUUGUAUCAAAAGAAUAUUGCCUUUCACUUGCUGUUUGGCCAGCUUCAUCUCGAUUCAGAAAACUGAGAACAUACAGGGCUUUUGCUAACCUGUCAGUGUGGGCACUCCAACUCCCCCUUCUUCUGUUUUUCAAGCAUGGUUUUUAAUGUUCUGUGGGCAUGUUCAACAUAGUGAGAUACACCAGUGGGAUAAUGAGGGAUACCUGUGUUGUGGGAGACAUCCCAUUGUUGCAAGAACUGGGGAUUCUGUUCAGAAGCAUAGCAGGGCCUUUGUCUGAUUUAACAGUGUCUGGAAGGCCCAAAGCAUGUGAGCCAAUGCUGAGUAACAUCAUGAGCCUUUUAUCCUGUGUGGGGUUGCAAUUAAAACACAUGAGAAAGUGUCAACAGUUACAUGAACUUCUUAUAAACUACCAGAUUCUGCAGCAUGACUAACACCAGUUUGCCAGGUAGAAUUGGCAGUCAGACCUCGAGGACUGACAUUUUCUGCCAAAGGAGCAGGAGCAACUCCACAGCAAGAGGGACAUGAAAGCAGAAUGUCAUGAGCUUGCAAGGAGGUUAAUUGAAAUUGCUUCUGUAGAGAGGGUUCAUUUUGGUGAAAAAAGUAAAGAGAUAGCUUAGCCUGAGCAAACUUCUUAGGUACAACAUUUGUCAUGGUAGUGAGAUCUGCUCAAUUAUUACCUUCCACAAUAGAUCUGGGUAAACGUGUAGAAGAACGAACAUGUAGCACACAAAAGCCAUCAGUUGUUAAUCAAAAGCCAUAGCUUUCACAACUCUAAAU
This 1386-nucleotide long non-coding RNA is filed under the name Catharus ustulatus (Swainson's thrush). RNAcentral describes it as "lncRNA (ENSCUSG00005015598.1)". The record is from RNAcentral. Lineage: Eukaryota; Metazoa; Chordata; Aves; Passeriformes; Turdidae.